AUCCCCGUCACCCGCUCUGAGGAACUUGAGACGUUCCCGCCAAAGGUGCCAUUAAUUUGGAAUCAACCCCC
This 71-nucleotide transfer RNA is filed under the name Synechococcus phage S-SM2. Its description in RNAcentral is "tRNA-Gly". The record is from RNAcentral. Lineage: Duplodnaviria; Heunggongvirae; Uroviricota; Caudoviricetes; Pantevenvirales; Kyanoviridae.